GAUCAUGGCUCAGGAUGAACGCUAGCUACAGGCUUAACACAUGCAAGUCGAGGGGAAACGAUAUUGGAAGCUUGCUUCCGAUAGGCGUCGACCGGCGCACGGGUGGGUAACGCGUAUCCAACCUGCCCACCACUUGGGGAUAACCUUGCGAAAGUAAGACUAAUACCCAAUGAUAUCUCUAGAAGACAUCUGAAAGAGAUUAAAGAUUCAUCGGUGAUGGAUGGGGAUGCGU
RNAcentral lists this ribosomal RNA (232 nucleotides) under uncultured bacterium. RNAcentral's name for it is "partial 16S ribosomal RNA". It matches the Rfam family "Bacterial small subunit ribosomal RNA", at positions 15 to 236 of the family's 1533-position model. The record is from RNAcentral.